CAGCAACAGAUUGAUUCUCUGCAAACCCAGUUGGCAAUUGCACAAGCUGAGGUUGUUCACAUGAGAAUGCAACAAUAUGGUUCGUCUUCCAAUCCAGGCACCGUGGACAUGGUGGUUGAUCAGGCCAACGUUGGGGAGUCUUUGUGGUCAUGCUAGCUUGCUUUGCAUGCUUCAUGCUUGCCUUCCCUUUUUGCCUAUAUACAUAUUAAUUAAUUAUAAUGGGCUUGCUUUAUUGUCUCCCCUCUUCCAUAUACCCUUUUGCUUUUUUCCCCCUUGGUCUUUAUAGCACAUCUCUACUUGACUAAGGCAUGAUGAUUAUGAUCAUUAACCAUAAUUAUAUGUUUAGAAAUAUGUACAAUAUGGUUAAUGAUC
RNAcentral lists this unclassified non-coding RNA (372 nucleotides) under Hevea brasiliensis (rubber tree). The record is from RNAcentral. Lineage: Eukaryota; Viridiplantae; Streptophyta; Magnoliopsida; Malpighiales; Euphorbiaceae.